GGCUUCAUAGCUCAGAAGUAGAAUGUUUGCACCGGAAUCGCAAAGGUCAUGGGUUCACAUCCCGUUGGAGCCU
This is a non-coding RNA of Desmophyllum pertusum, 73 nucleotides long. NCBI's taxonomy places the organism in Eukaryota, Metazoa, Cnidaria, Anthozoa, Scleractinia, Caryophylliidae. The record is from the annotation of a GenBank genome assembly.